UUAAAUGGCUGCAGUAAUUUGACUGUACAAAGGUAGCAUAAUCAAUAGUUUUUUAAUUGAAAGCUUGUAUGAAAGGUUGGACGAGAUAAUAUCUGUCUUUAUUUAAUAUAAAUAAGAAUUUAAUUUUUAAGUCAAAAAGCUUAAAUUUUUAUAAAAGACGAGAAGACCCUAUAGAUCUUUAUAAAUUUAUUUUUAUAAUUAUUUUAGAUUUAUUAAUUUUAUAUUAUAUAAGUUUAUUUUAUUGGGGUAAUAAAAAGAUUUAUUUAAUUCUUUUUUUUUAUUUUAUUAAUUUAUAUAUUUUUGAUCCAUUAUUAAUGAUUAAAAGAUUAAGUUACCUUAGGGAUAACAGCGUAAUUUUUUUAGAGAGUUCAUAUUGAUAAAAAAGUUUGCGACCUCGAUGUUGGAUUAAAGAUUAAUUUAGGUGCAAAAGUUUAAAUUUUUGGUCUGUUCGACCAUUAAAUCUUUACAUGAUCUGAGUUCAGACCGGUGUAAGCCAGGUCGGUUUCUAUCUUUAUAAAAUUAAAAUAUUUUAGUACGAAAGGACCAAAUAUUAAUUAUAAUAAUUUUUAUUUUGAAUAUUAUU
This 583-nucleotide ribosomal RNA is filed under the name Microcharidius monasticus. Its description in RNAcentral is "partial large subunit ribosomal RNA". The stretch from base 342 to 500 matches the Rfam family "Bacterial large subunit ribosomal RNA", at positions 2473 to 2632 of the family's 2925-position model. The record is from RNAcentral. Lineage: Eukaryota; Metazoa; Arthropoda; Insecta; Coleoptera; Carabidae.